UAAACUUGACAAAAUCUUGACGAAAAUAUGCGCUUCAUGCUUCCGUCACCAACGCUGACACACGCUGAGCUAGCAUGUCGGUGAACACACAGCAGACAGAGCUUACCGAAAAACAUGUCGCAAAAGCAUGCAAAGCAGGCAACUAUAAUCUACGUUUUUUAAACGCGCAAAAUUUUGUUUUUGAUGUAAUAUAGUGUAAUUUACUCGCAGCACAACUUUCCUGCCAGUAGCAGCUACUACUGCUACUCCUAUUACAUAUGGCGAAGCGGAUACCUUGUACAUGGCAUGCCCUGGCACAGCAAAAAUCCAGUCAUCACCAAAUUAAAGGUCAGGCUUGGCUGUCGGAAGGAAAAUACUCCCCCUGGCUGUAUAAGACCGACAUUGUCUUUAAACUCAUCACUCCUUUGUGGCAGCCAGAGGUUUCAGAAGACCCAUCACCAGGAAGUAAUCAUAGGCAGACCUUUAGCCAUGACAGGGGCACCUUCAUGUUAAAGAAAGAGUGGUGGCAUCCAGUCCUCCAGCUGAGGAAGCAGGCUGGGACCCACAGCCAGUGUUGAUCCUCCCAGUAAAGGCCACUGGUGGGGAUAAUUGAUG
Molecule: long non-coding RNA, 594 nt
Organism: Xiphophorus couchianus (Monterrey platyfish)
Lineage: Eukaryota; Metazoa; Chordata; Actinopteri; Cyprinodontiformes; Poeciliidae
Exons: 3
Source: RefSeq, a predicted model, not a curated record